Molecule: non-coding RNA, 70 nt
Organism: Podarcis lilfordi (Lilford's wall lizard)
Lineage: Eukaryota; Metazoa; Chordata; Lepidosauria; Squamata; Lacertidae
Source: the annotation of a GenBank genome assembly
GGAUAGCUCAGCUGGUUAGAGUGUGGUGCUGAUAACACCAGGGUUGCAGGUUCAAUGCCUGUUUGGGAUG